Molecule: ribosomal RNA, 604 nt
Filed under: uncultured bacterium
Lineage: Bacteria
Description: bacterial SSU rRNA
Rfam family: Bacterial small subunit ribosomal RNA
Source: RNAcentral
CUCAAAGGAAUUGACGGGGACCCGCACAAGCGGUGGAUUAUGUGGAUUAAUUCGAUGCAACGCGAAAAACCUUACCUACCCUUGACAUGCUUGGAAUCUAAUGGAACAUAAGAGUGCCCGAAAGGGAGCCAGACACAGGUGCUGCAUGGCUGUCGUCAGCUCGUGUCGUGAGAUGUUGGGUUAAGUCCCGCAACGAGCGCAACCCUUGUCACUAAUUGCUAUCAUUUUUAAUGAGCACUUUAGUGAGACUGCCGGUGACAAACCGGAGGAAGGUGGGGAUGACGUCAAGUCCUCAUGGCCCUUAUGGGUAGGGCUUCACACGUAAUACAAUGGCGUGUACAGAGGGUUGCCAACCCGCGAGGGGGAGCCAAUCUCAGAAAGCACGUCGUAGUCCGGAUCGGAGUCUGCAACUCGACUCCGUGAAGUCGGAAUCGCUAGUAAUCGCGGAUCAGCAUGUCGCGGUGAAUACGUUCCCGGGUCUUGUACACACCGCCCGUCACACCAUGGGAGUGGUUUUCACCAGAAGCAGGUAGCUUAACCGCAAGGAGGGCGCUUGCCACGGUGGGGGUCAUGACUGGGGUGAAGUCGUAACAAGGUAUCCGUA